RNAcentral lists this ribosomal RNA (508 nucleotides) under Hyalorisia galea. RNAcentral's name for it is "partial large subunit ribosomal RNA". It matches the Rfam family "Bacterial large subunit ribosomal RNA", at positions 1844 to 2618 of the family's 2925-position model. Lineage: Eukaryota; Metazoa; Mollusca; Gastropoda; Littorinimorpha; Capulidae. The record is from RNAcentral.
AAUGAAGAGUCGGACCUGCCCAGUGAAAUAUUUUAACGGCCGCGGUACUCUGACCGUGCAAAGGUAGCAUAAUCAUUUGCCCUAUAAUUGGGGGCUGGUAUGAAUGGUUUGACAAGAGCAAUUCUGUCUCUAUAUAAUUUUAUAAAAUUUAAUUUUCAGCUGAAGAAGCCUGAAUUUAAUUAAAAGACAAGAAGACCCUAUCGAGCUUAAAAAUAAUUAAGAGAUAACUAGAUAUAUUUAUAAAUUUAUAACUUUUAAAAAUUUUGGUUGGGGCGACCUAGGAACAAAUAAAGCUUCUUUACUUAAAAAGGUAUACAUAUAAUGAUCCAAAAAUUUUGAUCAAAGAAAUUAGUUACCGUAGGGAUAACAGCAUAAUCUUUUUUGAGAGCUCCUAUCGAAAAAAAGGCUUGUGACCUCGAUGUUGGACCAAAAUAUCCUAAAGAUGCAGUCGUCUUUAAGGGUUGGUCUGUUCGACCAUUAAAAUUUUACGUGAUCUGAGUUCAGACCG